RNA transcript from Peromyscus eremicus (cactus mouse), 1457 nucleotides. It is a transcript of the gene named glycerophosphodiester phosphodiesterase domain containing 1, with no coding region annotated. The transcript is spliced from 11 exons. The record is from RefSeq and is a predicted model, not a curated record. Lineage: Eukaryota; Metazoa; Chordata; Mammalia; Rodentia; Cricetidae.
CACGAACAAGUGCGCUGCGCCGAGGGCACCGGCUGGGGGCGAGCAGAUCUCGAGCAGCCGCCGGCUGGCGCCGCAGCCGUUGCUACCGCCGCAGCGCAGUGGGGUUCAGAGGCCCAGAAGGUGGUGACCCAGGAUGUCGUCCACCGCGGCUUUUUGCCUUCUCUCUACCCUGGGAGGGUAUUUGGUCACGUCGUUCUUGUUGCUUAAAUACCCAACGUUGUUGCACCAGAAAAAGAAGCAGCGAUUCAUCAGUAGGCACAUCUCUCACCGCGGAGGUGCUGGAGAAAACCUGGAGAACACAAUGGCUGCCUUCCAACAUGCAGUUACCAUUGGAACUGAUAUGUUAGAACUGGAUUGCCAUAUCACAAAAGAUGAACAAGUCGUGGUGUCACAUGACGCAAAUCUGAAGAGGUCAACUGGGAUCAAUGUAAAUGUCUCUGAUCUCAAAUAUUGUGAGCUCCCACCUUACCUUUGCAAACUGGAUGUCCCAUUUCAGAGAGCAUGCAAGUGUGAAGGAAAAGAUAACCGAAUUCCAUUGCUGAAGGAAGUGUUUGAGGCCUUUCCUGAGACCCCCAUUAACAUCGACAUCAAAGUCAACAACAACGUGCUGAUUAAGAAGGUCUCAGAACUGGUGAAGCAGUAUAAGAGAGAGCACCUGACGGUGUGGGGCAAUGCGAGCUCUGAAAUUGUGGAGAAGUGUUACAAAGAGAACUCAGACAUCCCUAUACUCUUCAGCCUACAGCGUGUUCUGCUCAUCCUUGGUCUUUUCUUCACUGGCCUCUUGCCCUUUGUGCCCAUUCGAGAACAGUUCUUUGAAAUUCCAAUGCCUUCUAUCAUACUGAAGCUAAAAGAACCACACACUAUGUCCAAAGGUCAUAAGUUUCUCAUCUGGCUUUCUGAUACCCUAUUAAUGCGGAAAGCUUUAUUUGACCACCUCACUGCCCGGGGCAUCCAAGUAUACGUUUGGGUUUUAAAUGAAGAACACGAGUACAAAAGAGCUUUUGAUCUGGGAGCCACUGGAGUGAUGACAGACUACCCAACAAAGCUUAAGGAUUUCCUCAAUAAUUUUCCUGCGUAAGAAAGGGUCUCAGAAUUACUCAAAGGAGACAUGACGUGAAAAGAUCCGAGGAAAGGUGUGGCACCAUUGUUUCCCUGAGAUUUGCAGAAUGGUAAAAAGGUUUAAUCAAUUGUAAGUGACAUUGCAGUCCUCGUAACAAUUGAGCUGGUGGGAGCACAGCACCAUCGCGGGUAUUUUUAGUGUGAGCCUGCCCUUGACCUUCAGGAACUCAGUCUGCUGAGGACUAGCUACCGACAGACUUACCCAAUGUUAGACAUCACUUCCUCUGCUUUCUGAUGUGACUCCAUGUAAAUCUGUUUCUAACCUUUUUGACUAAAUUUUCAUGAUCUCAGAUUGGGAGAUAAGUAUAAUAUGGACUAAUAAAUGUCUUUUGCCUAAA